CCUAACAAUAAAAUUAAAAAUUAGCCACAAAUUCAUUCCCCACAAAUUCAUAAUUUUUUACUCUCUCUCUCUCAUCACUCUCUCUCUACGUUCUCUCUCUCUCUCUCUCUCUCUCUCUCUGUUCUCUCUCUCUCUCUCGUCCUCGCCGCCCGUCCGCCGCGCCGCUCCGCCCCCACUCAAUCGCCGCUCGCUCAGCCGCGCAGGAAGGUCCUGCACCGGCGUCUUCAGCUGGAGUGGCGUUGCUGUCGAUCGCCGCCAGCUGCGCCGUCGCCGUAGCUUUGUUCGUCUUCGACUCUGCACUCAAGAUCUGAGUUAAGCUUAGCAUUGUUGAUGAUGAUCGCCUAAUGAAAUCGAUUGAAUUGCACGAGGAGAAAGAAUCGUGUUUGAGCAUAGACAUGGUUAAUUAAAAGAAGAAGAAGAAGAUGAGUUGAGAAAAAGAGUGGAAGACUUCAUCGAGAAAAGCAACAGACAUUGGGAGGCAAAAAAAAUCAAUGAAUAUAUCUAUAAUUCUUGGCUGGUAAGAAAGAGAGAAUGAUUUCACAAUAUGGUAGAUAUAGAAGUUUGUUUGGAAGUCAUUUGUUUUUAGAAGUUUCAGAUAAACUUUGGAAAAAAUAUAAAAAUAAAGUGAUUGAAAAUUGAUUAAUGUUCUUGAAUUCACGAUCA
RNAcentral lists this long non-coding RNA (663 nucleotides) under Salvia miltiorrhiza (redroot sage). RNAcentral's name for it is "long non-coding RNA (SMIL_LNC010244)". Lineage: Eukaryota; Viridiplantae; Streptophyta; Magnoliopsida; Lamiales; Lamiaceae. The record is from RNAcentral.